This 841-nucleotide long non-coding RNA is filed under the name Cricetulus griseus (Chinese hamster). RNAcentral's name for it is "lncRNA (ENSCGRG00015036665.1)". Lineage: Eukaryota; Metazoa; Chordata; Mammalia; Rodentia; Cricetidae. The record is from RNAcentral.
CUUGGGCUGCGGGGCCCACCUCUCUGCCGUCCUCCCUCCUGGGUGAGGGCUGGGGCGGGUUUGCAUCCGGUUCCGCUUGGUGCCUAGGGUGCCUGGGCUCUACUUCAACCUGCCAGUAACGGAGUGAGGGUGGGGCAGUUCUCCACACCACCCUGCCCAAGAGAUGUGACCUAAGAGGACAUGGAGGUACUGGGUGGCAGGAGAGGCGGCUGACCCGCUGAGCAAGGAGUCCCUGUGGCUUGUGAUUUGUGCCUGGUGUCCUCACGAAAAGGUGAAGGAGUGUGUGCCCAGGAUUCUGACAUUCCCUCCUCCCCUGAAGGCUGGGGAGCAGCUGAACACACGUGGCAGACAGGACUCCCAGACCUGGCACGUUGUUUUCGACACAAUGUCUCAUAAAUAACAACUCACUGUGUAGCUGAGGAUGACCUUGACUGCCUCCACCACUCAAGUGCUGGAUUUCAGGGUCUAUAGGUCAGGCUGGUGCCAUACUUGUGACCCUCUUGCCUCAGUCUCCCGAGUGCUGAUAUUAUAGGUGCAUCAACCCAUACGGCACUUUGCAGCCCAGACUCCGAGUCCCAAAUCUUACCAGGCAGGCUGUGGUCUCUGAUGAACUCUCCAGGGAUGAGUUGGGACUCGCUCUGAGCUUCCAGGGGUCAGUGGACUCAUAGGGACAGAGGAGUUACUCAGUUCUACAGAAGUUGGCAUUAGGUGAAUUCCAAUCUAGGAUAUAGGCUGGCAGAUGUCAAGGCAAAAGAAGGAGCCAGGUCAAAAUGGUGAAAAGCUGUGGAUUUGGACGCUAAUGGUAAUGGGAUGUUCAUUGUCAAAGAGUGGAGGAUGAGAG